GGGUUGUGAGGUUAAGCGACUAAGCGUACACGGUGGAUGCCCUGGCAGUCAGAGGCGAUGAAGGACGUGCUAAUCUGCGAUAAGCGCCGGUAAGGUGAUAUGAACCGUUAUAACCGGCGAUUUCCGAAUGGGGAAACCCAGUGUGACUCGUCACACUAUCAUUAACUGAAUCCAUAGGUUAAUGAGGCGAACCGGGGGAACUGAAACAUCUAAGUACCCCGAGGAAAAGAAAUCAACCGAGAUUCCCCCAGUAGCGGCGAGCGAACGGGGAGGAGCCCAGAGCCUGAAUCAGCAUGUGUGUUAGUGGAAGCGUCUGGAAAGGCGCGCGAUACAGGGUGACAGCCCCGUACACAAAAGCGCAUGUGCUGUGAGCUCGAUGAGUAGGGCGGGACACGUGGUAUCCUGUCUGAAUAUGGGGGGACCAUCCUCCAAGGCUAAAUACUCCUGACUGACCGAUAGUGAACCAGUACCGUGAGGGAAAGGCGAAAAGAACCCCGGCGAGGGGAGUGAAAAAGAACCUGAAACCGUGUACGUACAAGCAGUGGGAGCCUCUUUUAUGGGGUGACUGCGUACCUUUUGUAUAAUGGGUCAGCGACUUAUAUUCUGUAGCAAGGUUAACCGUAUAGGGGAGCCGGAGGGAAACCGAGUCUUAAUUGGGCGUUAAGUUGCAGGGUAUAGACCCGAAACCCGGUGAUCUAGCCAUGGGCAGGUUGAAGGUUGGGUAACACUAACUGGAGGACCGAACCGACUAAUGUUGAAAAAUUAGCGGAUGACCUGUGGCUGGGGGUGAAAGGCCAAUCAAACCGGGAGAUAGCUGGUUCUCCCCGAAAGCUAUUUAGGUAGCGCCUCGUGAAUUCAUCUCCGGGGGUAGAGCACUGUUUCGGCUAGGGGGCCAUCCCGGCUUACCAACCCGAUGCAAACUGCGAAUACCGGAGAAUGUUAUCACGGGAGACACACGGCGGGUGCUAACGUCCGUCGUGAAGAGGGAAACAACCCAGACCGCCAGCUAAGGUCCCAAAGUCAUGGUUAAGUGGGAAACGAUGUGGGAAGGCCCAGACAGCCAGGAUGUUGGCUUAGAAGCAGCCAUCAUUUAAAGAAAGCGUAAUAGCUCACUGGUCGAGUCGGCCUGCGCGGAAGAUGUAACGGGGCUAAACCAUGCACCGAAGCUGCGGCAGCGACGCUGAUGCGUUGUUGGGUAGGGGAGCGUUCUGUAAGCCUGCGAAGGUGGCCUGUGAGGGUUGCUGGAGGUAUCAGAAGUGCGAAUGCUGACAUAAGUAACGAUAAAGCGGGUGAAAAGCCCGCUCGCCGGAAGACCAAGGGUUCCUGUCCAACGUUAAUCGGGGCAGGGUGAGUCGACCCCUAAGGCGAGGCCGAAAGGCGUAGUCGAUGGGAAACGGGUUAAUAUUCCCGUACUUGGUGUUACUGCGAAGGGGGGACGGAGAAGGCUAUGUUGGCCGGGCGACGGUUGUCCCGGUUUAAGCGUGUAGGUGUGUGUUCCAGGUAAAUCCGGUUCACUUUAACACUGAGGCGUGACGACGAGGCACUACGGUGCUGAAGCAACAAAUGCCCUGCUUCCAGGAAAAGCCUCUAAGCAUCAGGUAACAUCAAAUCGUACCCCAAACCGACACAGGUGGUCAGGUAGAGAAUACCAAGGCGCUUGAGAGAACUCGGGUGAAGGAACUAGGCAAAAUGGUGCCGUAACUUCGGGAGAAGGCACGCUGACA
Molecule: ribosomal RNA, 1724 nt
Filed under: Salmonella enterica subsp. enterica serovar Haifa
Lineage: Bacteria; Pseudomonadati; Pseudomonadota; Gammaproteobacteria; Enterobacterales; Enterobacteriaceae
Description: partial 23S ribosomal RNA
Rfam family: Bacterial large subunit ribosomal RNA
Source: RNAcentral